GAAACUUAGGUUAUUCCAAACCAGGGGUCUUCAAAACCCCAAAAAAGACCUCGCCCCUCUUAGUCUCUGAAGGCCU
RNAcentral lists this transfer RNA (76 nucleotides) under Uroplatus giganteus. Its description in RNAcentral is "tRNA-Trp". Lineage: Eukaryota; Metazoa; Chordata; Lepidosauria; Squamata; Gekkonidae. The record is from RNAcentral.